AUUGAACGCUGGCGGAAUGCUUUACACAUGCAAGUCGAACGGCAGCACGGACUUCGGUCUGGUGGCGAGUGGCGAACGGGUGAGUAAUGUAUCGGAACGUGCCCAGUCGUGGGGGAUAACGUCGUGAAAAUUACGCUAAUACCGCAUACGGUCUAUGGAUGAAAGCGGGGGAUCGCAAGACCUCGCGCGAUUGGAGCGGCCGAUAGCAGAUUAGGUAGUUGGUGGGGUAAAGGCCCACCAAGCCAACGAUCUGUAGCUGGUCUGAGAGGACGACCAGCCACACUGGAACUGAGACACGGUCCAGACUCCUACGGGAGGCAGCAGUGGGGAAUUUUGGACGAUGGGCGAAAGCCUGAUCCAGCCAUUCCGCGUGCAGGAUGAAGGCCCUCGGGUUGUAAACUGCUUCUGUACAGAACGAAAAGGUUUCUACUAAUACUAGGAGCUCAUGACGGUACAGUAAGAAUAAGCACCGGCUAACUACGUGCCAGCCGCCGCAGUAA
This 500-nucleotide ribosomal RNA is filed under the name uncultured bacterium. Its description in RNAcentral is "partial 16S ribosomal RNA". It matches the Rfam family "Bacterial small subunit ribosomal RNA", at positions 30 to 523 of the family's 1533-position model. The record is from RNAcentral.